GAAGAAACCAGCAGCGCCUAUCGUUGCAUCCGCUGGCCGCCUGGGAGGUGAAAUAAUGGGCUCUGGUUCACUGCCCACGCGGCCUUCUCCGUCGGCGUUCUCGCGGCCGUUGCCCAUCCCCGGCCGCGCGCGCCCUACUCGCCUCCGCAGCCUCACCACAGGCAAGCUCAGGGCCUUUUCCAUCAAACCAAGUCAUAGUGGUCUGAGCGAAGUAUCUGUACAGAGCCUUCCUGAUACUGAAGUUACCGGUGCUGCUUACAGCUUCACAGGAGCAACGACAUCACUUACCAACAAGAUUCUAACCUCGUCCAAGAAGAUUACUCUUGUUAGACAUGGCUUGAGCUCAUGGAAUGCAGAAAGCCGUGUUCAGGGAAGCUCAAAUCUGUCGGUGUUAACAGAAACCGGUGCCAAGCAGGCAGAGAAAUGCCGUGAUGCUCUUGCGAACAUGAAGUUUGACGUUUGCUUCUCUAGUCCGAUCUCACGAGCAAAGUCAACUGCCGAAAUUAUUUGGCAAGGGAAGGAAGAACCCCUUGUUUUUCUCGAUUCACUGAAGGAGGCACACCUCUUCUUUUUAGAGGGCAUGACCAAUGCGGAUGCUAAGGAGCAAUAUCCAGAGUUGUACACCAAAUGGAGGGAGGACCCUGCACACUUUCAUGUUAAUGGCAUAUACCCGAUCAGGGAGUUGUGGGGAACAGCAAGACAAGCGUGGGAGCAGAUCUUGCUCACUCCGGGUUUUCGCACAGGGUGAAAACUUGUUGGUGGUGACGCACAAAUCUAUUUUGCGUGCACUCAUCUGCACAGCACUAGGUCUCCCUCCUGAGAGGUUCCGUGCCAUUGAUGUAAACAAUGGUGGCAUGUGUGUCUUCACGGUCAACAGACAAGGAGAAGCUAUGCUUCAAGCCCUCAAUAUGACCGCACACAUGUACAGUGAUCACACCUAUCAGUACUAGUUAGUUUAAAUUUCCCCACUCUGCAUUGUAUUAUAUAUUUCCUGCAUACCCUGCAUACUACGUACACUUCCAUUAGACAAGUAGUCAUUCUUGAAAUGAUUUUGGUAAACGUGAUCGAUCUUAGUGCUCAUAAUUAAGAUGUGAUUGUCCAUGUGAAUAUAAACUGAAUCGUGCUAAGUCAUUCAACCUGCUUUGCGGAGCUGUGAAUCGCCAUCUACAAUGUGCUUGCUCAAA
RNA transcript from Panicum hallii, 1184 nucleotides. It is a transcript of the gene named probable 2-carboxy-D-arabinitol-1-phosphatase, with no coding region annotated. Lineage: Eukaryota; Viridiplantae; Streptophyta; Magnoliopsida; Poales; Poaceae. The record is from RefSeq and is a predicted model, not a curated record. The transcript has 7 exons.